CAGAAACUUAUUUUACUAAAAUAUUCUCUUCAUUUAGUACUUAAAUGCACUAGAAGUGGCCUUUUGAAAAGCCUUCGGUCAUGGAGCAACAAUUGCUGUUGGAGUCUCUGGGCUGCUUCAUUGUUUAUUUAACUUGACAGCAAGCUAGCUACAGUUUCACAAUUUAGAUCAUUUAUUUUUAUGGUCAAAAUGUUUGUACAGUAGCAAAACCGUUUAGUGUAUCUCUACAACGGAAGAGUGCCUCAUUUUGCAGCUGCUCUGCCUUUCUUUAGUUGAGGCUUCAUGCAGAGUGGGUGCUUCAGAAACUUGGCAAACUGUUAGAUCAGCCAUGUGCUAGCCAGCAGUGCUUUCCCUGAUGUGUGAGUAUGGCGUGCCCACCACAAGAAGGCCUUGGGAAGCUCGUUCCAGGAUCACUCACUAGUAUAUCAGCAUGAGAUUUUGUGACCUAGGGCAGUAGCAUGGAGUUGAACUCAGGAGCUUUUCAGGAGGACCCAGAAUCUGACAGUGGACAUCUAGAACAGAGGACACCUUGGUGUGAACACCACCUGUACCAGCAGCUAACGAUGGUGCCUCAUGCUGUUCACAAGAAGAAAGUGAGGUUUGGUGCCAUGAAUCCACCCACUGAGAAGAGUCCCACUACUACAGGAGGACUGUAGCAUAGGCAGAAGUACCAGUUUGGCCACAGGUUACUUCUCCCAUUGUAAAUUCACUCCUUGCUCAGGCUAUGCACGUGCACCAAAGCAGGUUCUGAAUUCUUUUUCAGUUUCCACUGAAUGUUUUUUUAUCCUCUCCGAGCUCUGUGAGAUUGGCAUUAUCCUGUAGCAGUGUCACAGCCUGCAAUCGUUUAAUGCCUCUUCUUGUGAGGCCAGGAUUCCACGCCCAAGUGCAUUUAGUAGGUCAGUACAGUAAUUUUAAAUGUCUUUCUUUCAGUCUUUUGCCAUCUUCAAUUAUACCUUUCCACCCUACUAUUUGUGUAAUUUGCUUCUGUCUGAAGUCUCUUUACUGUUGUUCUCUAUUGCACAGCGUGACAAAUUACCCAUCAAGCCGUAUCUUUUCAGCCCAGAAAUGCGCAGUAACACAGAGUCAUGGCAUUAUCACAUGUUGUGCACUUUAUUUCCUCACAGUUCAUUCAAGUGUGUCACUUUAUUUUCCUGCUUCCUUUUGUCAUCAUGAAGAUUAACCAUUUUUUUCUUCCUAAACUUUAGAAAGAAUUAGAAAUGCAUUACAUUGUAAGCCCAGAGCAACACCUAUACUAUCCCAUACAACCUGUCCUUGGCAAAAUUAUUCUCUGCAACUCUGAGCCUUGCAGAAGCUGGGGCUUUCAUCAUUAUUAUACAGCUGAAUAACCCUGGCCGUGGGCAAGAGAAUUAUUUGUAGCCCCUGGCCACCAAACAAAUUAAUUGUGAGACACCAUUCACUUUGACAGCGCACUCCAGCUCCUUCUGGGAGCUAUGAAACUCUCUGGGCCUCAUGUAUAUUGUGCCCAGGGUCCUUCUCUCCCUCCCUCUCUCUUUAAUUCAAGAUAAAUACGAGUAAUUGUAGAGCUUAUGCUGAGAUAUCUCCCAGGCAUUGCAAGGAUGUGUUCGAAAAAUCAAUUGUAUUGUUCACAUAGUCAGCAGGGCUGCAGCUGGUGUAUAAAAGGCAUCCUUAGAAACUGUGAUUUAAGAUGAUCUAGAUAAAGUUUGUUAUUAGAUUGUUUAAGGGCCCAGUAGGUCCUCCAACAUUAAUGUCUGAAGAGAGCCACAGAAGUAAAUUCAAACCUUUCCUCGAAAUGUACCUGAGAUGUGAGAUGGGAUUUGUUCAAGCAAAUAUGUCCAGUUCUCCUUUACAAUCCAUUUCAUAAUUUGUCAGUAUGAAUGCUAGGUGGGAAAAAUAGCACUUCUGUAAAACAGAGCAGAUGAUUAGGAAUUAACUAAACCUGUGGAGUUCAAUUUGGUUGGAGAAAACGUAAUUGAUGUUCAGAUUAACAAAAUGCUGACUGUUUGGUACCAUUGCAUUUUAUAAUUUUGGAAAAUGCUGAUGCAUAGGAAGGAAUAAGAGCAGAAUAUGAUAAACUGAAAUUGCUGUGGCGUUGAGGAUGCUAGGAGUCACUUGUAGUGCUAGUAGUCCCAUAACUUGAAAUAUGUCAGAUGCUGGGAGACCAAGCUUGGAUGUGCUGGAGGAGCUGAGCAUGAGCAAUAGGAGGUACACAUUAAGUUAGGCACCAAUCCCAAGUCUGGGCUCACCUAAUUUUCGGCACUAUUUCUGUCCUAUUUCACAACUAUACUGAGCCUUUCAUGUUGGCUGAUUAAAAAAAAAAAAAUCUUUUGUAUCACUUAACACACAAUGUAAUGCUAAUUCUUUUUUUCAAACAUCUUUACAGACACAAUGGGAACUUUAGUAUAUGCUAGUAAGAAAAAAUGCAUGACAUUUUUGUAAGAAGCCUGACUUUUAAAUGGAAAAAUAAAAUUUAUACAUUUUUGUAACUUCAUGUGAAAACUCUCAAAAUUGUUUUACGUGGACUAGAAGUUCUGACUGUUGCAGUUCAUUUACUUUGUAAUGUUCUCUAAUUAAUUUACU
This is a long non-coding RNA of Gallus gallus (chicken), 2559 nucleotides long. NCBI's taxonomy places the organism in Eukaryota, Metazoa, Chordata, Aves, Galliformes, Phasianidae. The record is from Ensembl.